GCAAGCCUGAUCCAGCCAUNCCGCGUGCAGGAUGAAGGCCUUCGGGUUGUAAACUGCUUUUGUACGGAACGAAGAGGUCUCUCCUAAUACNAGAGGCUCAUGACGGUACCGUNAGAAUAAGCACCGGCUAACUACGUGCCAGCAGCCGCGGUAAUACGUAGGGUGCAAGCGUUAAUCGGAAUUACUGGGCGUAAAGCGUGCGCAGGCGGUUAUAUAAGACAGAUGUGAAAUCCCCGGGCUCAACCUGGGAACUGCAUUUGUGACUGUAUAGCUAGAGUACGGUAGAGGGGGAUGGAAUUCCGCGUGUAGCAGUGAAAUGCGUAGAUAUGCGGAGGAACACCGAUGGCGAAGGCAAUCCCCUGGACCUGUACUGACGCUCAUGCACGAAAGCGUGGGGAGCAAACAGA
Molecule: ribosomal RNA, 407 nt
Filed under: beta proteobacterium SCGC AAA024-D18
Lineage: Bacteria; Pseudomonadati; Pseudomonadota; Betaproteobacteria
Description: bacterial SSU rRNA
Rfam family: Bacterial small subunit ribosomal RNA
Source: RNAcentral